RNAcentral lists this ribosomal RNA (512 nucleotides) under uncultured bacterium. Its description in RNAcentral is "bacterial SSU rRNA". It matches the Rfam family "Bacterial small subunit ribosomal RNA", at positions 28 to 495 of the family's 1533-position model. The record is from RNAcentral.
GACGAACGCUGGCGGCGUGCCUAAUACAUGCAAGUCGAACGCACUCUCGUUUAGAUUGAAGGAGCUUGCUCCUGAUUGAUAAACAUUUGAGUGAGUGGCGGACGGGUGAGUAACACGUGGGUAACCUGCCCUAAAGUGGGGGAUAACAUUUGGAAACAGAUGCUAAUACCGCAUAAAACCUAAACACCGCAUGGUGUAGGGUUGAAAGAUGGUUUCGGCUAUCACUUUAGGAUGGACCCGCGGUGCAUUAGUUAGUUGGUGAGGUAAAGGCUCACCAAGACCGUGAUGCAUAGCCGACCUGAGAGGGUAAUCGGCCACACUGGGACUGAGACACGGCCCAGACUCCUACGGGAGGCAGCAGUAGGGAAUCUUCCAACAAUGGACGAAAGUACUGAUGGAGCAACGCCGCGUGAGUGAAGAAGGUUUUCGGAUCGUAAAACUCUGUUGUUGGUAGAAGAAUGUAUCUGAUAGUAACUGAUCAGGUAGUGACGGUAUCCAACCAGAAAGACCAC